This 440-nucleotide ribosomal RNA is filed under the name uncultured bacterium. Its description in RNAcentral is "partial 16S ribosomal RNA". It matches the Rfam family "Bacterial small subunit ribosomal RNA", at positions 338 to 795 of the family's 1533-position model. The record is from RNAcentral.
CCUACGGGCGGCAGCAGUGGGGAAUAUUGCACAAUGGGGGAAACCCUGAUGCAGCGACGCCGCGUGAGUGAAGAAGUAAUUCGUUAUGUAAAGCUCUAUCAGCAGGGAAGAAAAUGACGGUACCUGAGUAAGAAGCACCGGCUAACUACGUGCCAGCAGACGCGGGAAUACGUAGGGGGCAAGCGUUAGCCGGAUUUACGGGGUGGAAAGGGAGCGUAGACGGCAGUGCAAGGCGUGAGUGAAAGGCGGGGGGUCAACCCCCGGACUGCUCUGGAAACUGUACGGCUGGAGUGCAGGAGAGGUAAGUGGAAUUCCUAGUGUAGCGGUGAAAUGCGUAGAUAUUAGGAGGAACACCAGUGGCGAAGGCGGCUUACUGGACUGUAACUGACGUUGAGGCUCGAAAGCGUGGGGAGCAAACAGGAUUAGAUACCCGAGUAGUC